UACGUAGGUGGCGAGCGUUGUCCGGAAUCAUUGGGCGUAAAGGGAGCGCAGGCGGGCGUGUAAGUCUUUCUUAAAAGUUCGGGGCUCAACCCCGUGAUGGGAAAGAAACUACAUGUCUUGAGUACAGGAGAGGAAAGCGGAAUUCCCAGUGUAGCGGUGAAAUGCGUAGAUAUUGGGAGGAACACCAGUGGCGAAGGCGGCUUUCUGGACUGCAACUGACGCUGAGGCUCGAAAGCCAGGGGAGCGAACGGG
RNAcentral lists this ribosomal RNA (252 nucleotides) under uncultured bacterium. RNAcentral describes it as "partial 16S ribosomal RNA". It matches the Rfam family "Bacterial small subunit ribosomal RNA", at positions 524 to 776 of the family's 1533-position model. The record is from RNAcentral.